AACGAACGCUGGCGGCAGGCUUAACACAUGCAAGUCGAACGCGUGUAGCAAUACACGAGUGGCGCACGGGUGAGUAACACGUGGAUUAUCUGCCUCUUGGUUCGGAAUAACCCCGGGAAACUGGGGCUAAUACCGAAUGGUUCCUACGGGAUAAAGAUUUAUCGCCAAGAGAUGAGUCCGCGUCCGAUUAGCUAGUUGGUGGGGUAAUGGCCUAUCAAGGCGACGAUCGGUAGCUGGUCUGAGAGGACGAUCAGCCACACUGGGACUGAGACACGGCCCAGACUCCUACGGGAGGCAGCAGUGGGGAAUAUUGGACAAUGGGGGCAACCCUGAUCCAGCCAUGCCGCGUGAGUGAUGAAGGCCUUCGGGUUGUAAAGCUCUUUUGGCGGGGACGAUGAUGACGGUACCCGCAGAAUAAGCCCCGGCUAACUUCGUGCCAGCCGCCGCCGUAA
Molecule: ribosomal RNA, 452 nt
Filed under: uncultured bacterium
Lineage: Bacteria
Description: partial 16S ribosomal RNA
Rfam family: Bacterial small subunit ribosomal RNA
Source: RNAcentral